This 72-nucleotide transfer RNA is filed under the name Dipodomys ordii (Ord's kangaroo rat). It matches the Rfam family "tRNA". Rfam says of the family: Transfer RNA (tRNA) molecules are approximately 80 nucleotides in length. Their secondary structure includes four short double-helical elements and three loops (D, anti-codon, and T loops). Lineage: Eukaryota; Metazoa; Chordata; Mammalia; Rodentia; Heteromyidae. The record is from Rfam by way of RNAcentral.
GCGGAUGUGGCUUAGUAGUAGAGCACUUGCCUAGAAUGCAUGAAGCCCUGGGUUCGACUCCUUAGUACCACA